GAAAGUAAGCAAGGGCAGACGGUGGAUGCCUUGGCUCUCGGAGGCGACGAAGGACGUGAUAAGCUGCGAAAAGCUCGGGGGAGGCGCAAAUAGCCCUUGAUCCCGGGAUAUCCGAAUGGGGCAACCCGGCAGGCUGAAGGCCUGCCAUCCCGUAAGGGAGGCGAACGUGGGGAACUGAAACAUCUAAGUACCCAUAGGAGGAGAAAAUAAACAAUGAUUCCGUAAGUAGUGGCGAGCGAACACGGAAGAGCCCAAACCCAUGUCGUCUAGGCGACACGGGGGUUGUAGGACCACGACGUGGCAAGAUAGAGUCAAGUGGAACGCCUUGGAAAAGGCGACCGUAGAGGGUGAUAGUCCCGUACACGACUGACGAUUGAAGCCUAGUGGCAUCCUGAGUAGCGCGGGGCACGAGAAAUCUUGCGUGAAACUGCGGGGCCCAUCCCGUAAGGCUAAAUACUCCCGAGAGACCGAUAGCGAACCAGUACCGUGAGGGAAAGGUGAAAAGAACCCCGAGCAGGGGAGUGAAAUAGACCCUGAACCCGUCUGCCUACAAGCGGUCGGAGCGUCGUAAUGACGUGACGGCGUGCCUUUUGCAUAAUGAACCUACGAGUUACCUUCCCCGGCAAGGUUAAGUACCUAAGGUACGGAGCCGAAGCGAAAGCGAGUCUGAAGAGGGCGGCCAGUCGGGGGGGGUAGACGCGAAACCGAGUGAUCUACCCUUGGCCAGGUUGAAGGUUGGGUAACACCAACUGGAGGACCGGAUGGGUAAGCGUUGAAAAGCUUUCCAAUGAGCUGAGGGUAGGGGUGAAAGGCUAAUCAAACUCGGAGAUAGCUCGUACUCCCCGAAAUGCAUUUAGGUGCAGCCUCUUUAUAGUAUAUCGUGAGGUAGAGCGACUGAUUGGAUGCGAGGGCUUCACCGCCUAUCAAGUCCAGAUAAACUCCGAAUGCGCGAUAUAUAUUUAAAGGGAGUGAGGGCGCGGGUGCUAAGGUCCGUGUCCGAGAGGAGAAGAAUCCAGACCACCGGCUAAGGCCCCCAAAUGAUCGUUGAGUUGAACUAACGAGGUCGGAUCGCAGAGACAGCUAGGAUGUUGGCUUGGAAGCAGCCAUUCAUUUAAAGAGUGCGUAACAGCUCACUAGUCGAGCGAUCUGGCGUGGAUAAUAAUCGGGCAUAAACGAUCUGCCGAAGCCGUGGAUGUCGCAAGACAUGGUAGGGGAGCAUUCCAUGCGGCGUCGAAGAUGAGGGAUGACCCUUGUUGGAGCGCAUGGAAAAGCAAAUGUAGGUAUGAGUAACGAUAAGGGGGGCGAGAAACCCCCCCGCCGAAAGACCAAGGUUUCCUGAUCAACGCUAAUCGGAUCAGGGUGAGUCGGGACCUAAGGCUAAGCCGAACGGCGACGCCGAUGGAAGAAUGGGUUAAUAUUCCCAUACUGCCUCAUGGAGUGACGUGGAGACGGAGAAGUGACAGUCCUGCCGGCUGACGGAAUAGCCGGUUGAAGGGUGUAGAUAUUGAUUCCCGUAGGCAAAUCCGCGGGGAGAGUCGAACCUGACAGUAUACGGAGCGCUUGCGCAACGUAAUAUGGACGUAACCAUGCUCCCAAGAAAAUCCGCUAAACUUAUCCAUGCGGCACCCGUACCGUAAACGGACACACGUGGUCGGGUUGAGAAUACUGAGGCGCUCGAGUGACUCACGGUUAAGGAACUAGGCAAAUUGACCCUGUAACUUCGGGAUAAAGGGUCCUCGUCGUAAGGCGAGGCGCAGAGAAUAGGUCCAGGCAACUGUUUAACAAAAACACAUGGCUGUGCUAAAUGGAAACAUGAUGUAUACAGCCUGACACCUGCCCGGUGCUGGAAGGUUAAGAGGAGAUGUCAUCGCGAGAGAAGCGUUGAAUUGAAGCCCCAGUAAACGGCGGCCGUAACUAUAACGGUCCUAAGGUAGCGAAAUUCCUUGUCGGGUAAGUUC
RNAcentral lists this ribosomal RNA (1958 nucleotides) under human gut metagenome. RNAcentral describes it as "bacterial LSU rRNA". It matches the Rfam family "Bacterial large subunit ribosomal RNA", at positions 1 to 1983 of the family's 2925-position model. The record is from RNAcentral.